GAUCCUGGCUCAGGAUGAACGCUAGCUACAGGCUUAACACAUGCAAGUCGAGGGGCAGCAUUGGGGUAGCAAUACUCAGAUGGCGACCGGCGCACGGGUGAGUAACACGUAUCCAACCUGCCGCUUACUCGGGGAUAGCCUUUCGAAAGAAAGAUUAAUACCCGAUGGUAUAAAGAGUUCGCAUGUUCUCUUUAUUAAAGAAUUUCGGUAAGCGAUGGGGAUGCGUUCCAUUAGAUAGUUGGCGGGGUAACGGCCCACCAAGUCUACGAUGGAUAGGGGUUCUGAGAGGAAGGUCCCCCACAUUGGAACUGAGACACGGUCCAAACUCCUACGGGAGGCAGCAGUGAGGAAUAUUGGUCAAUGGACGAGAGUCUGAACCAGCCAAAAGUAGCGUGAAGGAUGACUGCCCUAUGGGUUGUAAACUUCUUUUAUAAGGGAAUAAAGUGAGGGACGUGUCCCUUUUUGUAUGUACCUUAUGAAUAAGGAUCGGCUAACUCCGUGCCAGCCGCGGC
Molecule: ribosomal RNA, 512 nt
Filed under: uncultured bacterium
Lineage: Bacteria
Description: bacterial SSU rRNA
Rfam family: Bacterial small subunit ribosomal RNA
Source: RNAcentral